AACGAACGCUGGCGGCAGGCCUAACACAUGCAAGUCGAAGGAGAAGCCGGGCUUCGGCCCGGUGGAAACUGGCGCACGGGUGAGUAACGCGUGGGUAUCUACCUCGGGGUGGGGAAUAACCGCUGGAAACGCGGCUAAUACCGCAUACGCCUUCAGAGGGAAAGCUCCGGCGCCCUGAGAGGAGCCCGCGUUGGAUUAGCUUGUUGGUGGGGUAAUGGCCUACCAAGGCUACGAUCUAUAGCUGGUCUGAGAGGAUGAUCAGCCACACUGGGACUGAGACACGGCCCAGACUCCUACGGGAGGCAGCAGUGGGGAAUAUUGGACAAUGGGCGCAAGCCUGAUCCAGCCAUGCCGCGUGAGUGAAGAAGGCCUUAGGGUUGUAAAGCUCUUUCACCUGCGAAGAUGAUGACGGUAGCAGGAGAAGAAGCCCCGGCUAACUCCGUG
RNAcentral lists this ribosomal RNA (444 nucleotides) under uncultured bacterium. RNAcentral describes it as "bacterial SSU rRNA". It matches the Rfam family "Bacterial small subunit ribosomal RNA", at positions 29 to 507 of the family's 1533-position model. The record is from RNAcentral.